RNAcentral lists this ribosomal RNA (727 nucleotides) under Streptococcus sp. HXF0017. RNAcentral describes it as "bacterial SSU rRNA". It matches the Rfam family "Bacterial small subunit ribosomal RNA", at positions 80 to 793 of the family's 1533-position model. Lineage: Bacteria; Bacillati; Bacillota; Bacilli; Lactobacillales; Streptococcaceae. The record is from RNAcentral.
UUGCUCUUCUUGGAUGAGUUGCGAACGGAUGAGUAACGCGUAUGUAACCUGCCUUGUAGCGGGGGAUAACUAUUGGAAACGAUAGCUAAUACCGCAUAACAAUGGGUGACUCAUGUCAUUUAUUUGAAAGGAGCAAAUGCUCCACUACAAGAUGGACCUGCGUUGUAUUAGCUAGUAGGUGAGGUAACGGCUCACCUAGGCGACGAUACAUAACCGACCUGAGAGGGUGAUCAGCCACACUGGGACUGAGACACGGCCCAGACUCCUACGGGAGGCAGCAUUAGGGAAUCUUCGGCAAUGGGGGCAACCCUGACCGAUCAACGCCGCGUGAGUGAAGAAGGUUUUCCGAUCGUACAACUCUGUUGUAAGUCAAGAACGAGUGUGAGAGUGGAAAGUUCACACUGUGACGGUAGCUUACCAGAAAGGGACGGCUAACUACGUGCCAGCAGCCGCGGUAAUACGUAGGUCCCGAGCGUUGUCCGGAUUUAUUGGGCGUAAAGCGAGCGCAGGCGGUUUGAUAAGUCUGAAGUUAAAGGCUGUGGCUCAACCAUAGUUCGCUUUGGAAACUGUCAAACUUGAGUGCAGAAGGGGAGAGUGGAAUUCCAUGUGUAGCGGUGAAAUGUGUAGAUAUAUGGAGGAACACCGGUGGCGAAAGCGGCUCUCUGGUCUGUAACUGACGCUGAGGCUCGAAAGCGUGGGGAGCGAACAGGAUUAGAUACCCUGGUAG